GUAGUCGGAUUCACAUCAAUCCACAUGUAUUGGAGUGGGUUGUAGUGGAACUUGAACUAAAUUUCACUCCAAUCCACGCCAACACAUGUGGAUUGAGGUGAAUCCGACA
Molecule: microRNA precursor, 109 nt
Organism: Sorghum bicolor (sorghum)
Lineage: Eukaryota; Viridiplantae; Streptophyta; Magnoliopsida; Poales; Poaceae
Rfam family: MIR5565 microRNA precursor family
Source: Rfam